CUCAGUAUCCCCCUCAAGGCCAAUGAGUCCUUCUCAUACUGUCUUCAAGGUCUGUCUACCCUCAGCCUGGUUCAGCCUCCAAAUCCUAUCCCUCCACAUCCUAGUUGCUUCACCGUCCCCCAGCCGAAUCCUUGGAGCUCUUACCUACAACAUGAGCUACAGGCUUGUCACUUGGAGUUCGAGAAGAUGAUUCUGAGGAGGAAAGAGGAAAGAAAAAGAGCAAAGGCCCCAAAGAAGACACUACUAGGGCUGAGGAGUAGGUGGGACACGCCAUCUGUGUGAGUGGAGAGCUGAUCUCCCUGGGUGAGCAGGAACACAGCUCCCUGGUACACAGAGCGCACCCAAGGUCCAGAGCGUGGCCCUGGGCACACGGACUUCUGAGCGCUGAGGAGAGGCACAUGGAAAGGGUACUGGGAGGAGAAGAGUUGGACCUCAUGGGCCAGAGAGAGAUCACAAGCAGGCAGAGAGAGAAGAGGAAGCAGGCUCCCCGCCGAGCAGAGAGCCCGAUGCGGGGCUCGAUCCCAGGACCCUGGGACCAUGACCUGAGCCGAAGGCAGAGGCUUUAACCCACUGAGCCACCCAGGCGCCCCUUAAAGAGUGGAAACGAUGCACUUCAAAACCAGAGAAAAAUUUGCUGGAUGGAGGAGCAAAUUUGGACAUCAAAGGUUUCUGUUGCUUAUCUCUCAACCCCCAGCUUAGGGAUCCUAACCCCAACUCCCCCAAUUCCCCCCAACUCCCAACCUGGGCUCUUUGCAUGCCACUUCCGAAAUCUCCGGCCUGUGAGAGGAACCGGACGCCUGGGUUGCUCACAGCUCGCAGGCUCUUCUCUGAAUCACAGCAGCUUCCUCUCACAGGAUCUUUCUCACCAGCCCUUCCUCCUCCUGACCCUGAACAGAUGCCUGGUCCCUGGGAGGCCUUCCAUCUCCUGGCUGUCUUCUCCCAAGGUCUUGGGCCCUGCUUCCACGGGCUUCCCUCCCCAUGCUCUACCGCCCUCUGGGUGCUCUUGAGUACACCAGCGUUUCAUACCUAAAAAAUUAGUUUCUGGUUCUUAAGAUUCUCUGUAGACUGCACACGCCAGCGUAUGCCUGUAACUCUUCUUUUCGUGGAUUUCCCUGUUGUGUCCUGGAGGAUGGCAGUGGCAUUUGGUACUGUCUGCAACUUCCUCUCCCCGUUGUGGGGAGCCUGAGUGGAGAUCGAGUAUGGAACAAUGAAAGGGAUGGCACCAGCCCCCCUCCCACUGCCCCUCAGGACCUUUUCCUCAACUUCAGCAAAAGGGGUGUAUCUGGAAGGCCAAGUCUAGACUGCCCAGAGAUAAAGCCUAGGUGUGGGAGAGGGACAGAAGCUGGAGAGGACUGGGGCCCUGAAGGAGACCUAGGAUUGAGGAGCUAGAGGGGAGACGGCCUUGGGUGUGGAUCCCUGGUUGCCCAAGAACAGACAAUCCAGGUUACAUAAUUUGGCUCUUUCCACCUCCUUCCCCUGCUCCUAAUUUUAGCAACCGAAAUUCCACUCCCCCACAGGGCUCUUCCUCUGUCCAUUCUGCUUCUAUCCCAUCCUCCCACAACCUCCUCAUGGUCCCCAGCUCCAGCUGCCCCCAACUCAGACCAUUCAGUGACUCAGCAAAGGGAAAGCCCUGUGUUGGGGGAGGGGGUAUUCAGUGGGCAGGAGGAUGUGGUUCUGGCUGGGGAACUGGGGAGAGGAGGGAAACUGGUUUUGUUCCUUUUUUCGUCUCUGUUCAUGUCUAUUUCUCCAGUCACUGACAGUGGAGGAGCACAGCGCAGGGAGUGGUGACUGGUGGGCAAACUGGGUCUGCUCAGAGCUGCCUUUGUGGCUGGGCAAGCAGGGCCUUCUUGGCUCCAGCUGAGAGCCCAUCUUGG
This is a long non-coding RNA of Mustela lutreola (European mink), 1874 nucleotides long. RefSeq lists it as uncharacterized. The transcript has 4 exons. Lineage: Eukaryota; Metazoa; Chordata; Mammalia; Carnivora; Mustelidae. The record is from RefSeq and is a predicted model, not a curated record.